Xylariales sp. AK1849 is the source of this 105-nucleotide non-coding RNA. The record is from the annotation of a GenBank genome assembly. NCBI's taxonomy places the organism in Eukaryota, Fungi, Ascomycota, Sordariomycetes, Xylariales.
GUUCCUGUGACGCAGCGGUUUAGCGUGUCGUUCUUAUACUGAUUGGGCAACCUAUCUGUAUGGUGAGAAAUGCGAAAGUCGUGAGUUCGAUCCUCACCAGGAACA